GCUAGGAUGAACGCUGGCGGCGUGCCUAACACAUGCAAGUCGAACGAAGCAUACGGACUGGAGAUUCGUCGAAGGACUGUAUGACUUAGUGGCGGACGGGUGAGUAAUGUAUGAGCAACCUGCCUUUCAGAGGGGGACAACAGUUGGAAACGACUGCUAAUACCGCGUAACGUAUCGUGAGGGCAUCCUCGUGAUACCAAAGGAGCAAUCCGCUGAAAGAUGGGCUCAUAUCUGAUUAGCUUGUUGGCGGGGUAACGGCCCACCAAGGCGACGAUCAGUAGCCGGACUGAGAGGUUGAACGGCCACAUUGGGACUGAGAUACGGCCCAGACUCCUACGGGAGGCAGCAGUGGGGAAUAUUGGGCAAUGGGCGAAAGCCUGAACCCCAGCAACGCCGCGUGAAGGAAGAAGGUCUUCGGAUUGUAAACUUCUUUUAUGAGGGACGAAGGACGUGACGGUACCUCAUGAAUAAGCCACGGCUAACUACGUGCCAGCCGCUGC
This 500-nucleotide ribosomal RNA is filed under the name uncultured bacterium. Its description in RNAcentral is "bacterial SSU rRNA". It matches the Rfam family "Bacterial small subunit ribosomal RNA", at positions 26 to 518 of the family's 1533-position model. The record is from RNAcentral.